AACCUACCUUGAACAGGGGGAUAGCCCGGAGAAAUUCGGAUUAAUACCGCAUAAUAUAACGGGGUCAGCAUUGGCCUGUUAUUAAAGAUUUAUUGGUUCAAGAUGGGCAUGCGUGCCAUUAGCUUGUUGGUGAGGUAACGGCUCACCAAGGCAACGAUGGCUAGGGGAUCUGAGAGGACGACCAGCCACACCGGAACUGAGACACGGUCCGGACUCCUACGGGAGGCAGCAGUGGGGAAUAUUGGACAAUGGGGGAAACCCUGAUCCAGCGACGCCGCGUGUGU
RNAcentral lists this ribosomal RNA (284 nucleotides) under uncultured bacterium. RNAcentral describes it as "partial 16S ribosomal RNA". It matches the Rfam family "Bacterial small subunit ribosomal RNA", at positions 123 to 406 of the family's 1533-position model. The record is from RNAcentral.